UAGGGAAUCUUCCACAAUGGACGCAAGUCUGAUGGAGCAACGCCGCGUGAGUGAAGAAGGUUUUCGGACCGUAAAGCUCUGUUGUUGGUGAAGAAGGAUAGAGGUAGUAACUGGCCUUUAUUUGACGGUAAUCAACCAGAAAGUCACGGCUAACUACGUGCCAGCAGCCGCGGUAAUCGUAGGUGGCAAGCGUUGUCCGGAUUUAUUGGGCGUAAAGCGAGCGCAGGCGGAAGAAUAAGUCUGAUGUGAAAGCCCUCGGCUUAACCGAGGAAUUGCAUCGGAAACUGUUUUUCUUGAGUGCAGAAGAGGAGAGUAGAACUCCA
Molecule: ribosomal RNA, 323 nt
Filed under: uncultured bacterium
Lineage: Bacteria
Description: partial 16S ribosomal RNA
Rfam family: Bacterial small subunit ribosomal RNA
Source: RNAcentral